Molecule: ribosomal RNA, 650 nt
Filed under: uncultured bacterium
Lineage: Bacteria
Description: bacterial SSU rRNA
Rfam family: Bacterial small subunit ribosomal RNA
Source: RNAcentral
GAGUGGCGAACGGGUGAGUAAAAUAUCGGAACGUACCCAGUGGAGGGGGAUAACGCAGCGAAAGUUGCGCUAAUACCGCAUACGACUUAGGGGGAAAGUGGGGGAUCGCAAGACCUCACGCCGUUGGAGCGGCCGAUAACUGAUUAGCUUGUUGGUGAGGUAAAGGCUCACCAAGGCCAUGAUCAGUAGCUGGUCUGAGAGGACGACCAGCCACACUGGAACUGAGACACGGUCCAGACUCCUACGGGAGGCAGCAGUGGGGAAUUUUGGACAAUGGGGGCAACCCUGAUCCAGCAAUGCCGCGUGAGUGAAGAAGGCCUUCGGGUUGUAAAGCUCUUUUGCCGGGGAAGAAAAGGUUAUCCCUAAUAUGGAUGGCUGAUGACGGUACCCGGAGAAUAAGCACCGACUAACUACGUGCCAGCAGCCGCGGUAAUACGUAGGGUGCAAGCGUUAAUCGGAAUUACUGGGCGUAAAGCGUGCGCAGGCGGUUUUUUAAGUCAGCUGUGAAAUCCCCGGGCUUAACCUGGGAAUGGCAGUUGAGACUGGAAGGCUGGAGUGUGUCAGAGGGGGGUAGAAUUCCACGUGUAGCAGUGAAAUGCGUAGAGAUGUGGAGGAAUACCGAUGGCGAAGGCAGCCCCCUGGGAUAACAC